RNAcentral lists this ribosomal RNA (408 nucleotides) under uncultured bacterium. RNAcentral describes it as "partial 16S ribosomal RNA". It matches the Rfam family "Bacterial small subunit ribosomal RNA", at positions 28 to 526 of the family's 1533-position model. The record is from RNAcentral.
GACGAACGCUGGCGGCGUGCUUAACACAUGCAAGUCGAACGACGUGGCGAACGGGUGAGUAACGUGUAAUCAACCUGCCCUUCAUAGGGGGACAACAGUUGGAACCGACUGCUAAUACCGCAUACUGAAUGAGGGGAUUGCGUCUGGUUAGCUAGUUGGAGGGGUAACGGGUCAACAAGGCGAUGAUCAGUGGCCGGUACUGGGAGAGAAACGGCAAACAUGGGACUGGGAAGCGGCCCAGACUCCUACAGGAGGCAGCCGUGGGAAAACUUCCGCAAUGGGCGAAAGUCUGACGGAGCAAAGCCGCGUGAGUGAUGACGGCCUUCAGGUUGUAAAGCUCUGUUAAUCGGGACGCGGUACCGGAAUAGAAAGCCACGGCUAACUACGUGCCAGCAGCCGCGGUAAUAC